UAUGUAUUUAUUUAUAGUACGAAUCCUGCUAUAGAGAGCAGAGAAGCACCAAAUAAUCAACAGCUACAGAACAGAAAUUAAGAACUGACUACUGAGUUACAACGAUCUCACAUGAAACAGUACAAGCGGUUAAAGCAAUAAAACACGGUAAACCAGCUAACAUUUGACUUGGAACAGCAAUUCUCCUUCUUGUUCAGUUCAGUUUUGUGGUCAUCCCCAGUUGCAUGAUCCUCCUCCUUGUCAACAACGAGGAUGUUAUCACCUACAGAGUGAUCUUUACUCCGUAGGAAUUGAGACCAACCCAUGAACGUAACCGGUGCUGUUGAUGGUAGCAAAGCUGCUAUGCAAUCUUGGUUCUUG
RNAcentral lists this long non-coding RNA (360 nucleotides) under Theobroma cacao (cacao). Its description in RNAcentral is "long non-coding RNA (TCAC_LNC000086)". Lineage: Eukaryota; Viridiplantae; Streptophyta; Magnoliopsida; Malvales; Malvaceae. The record is from RNAcentral.